Molecule: long non-coding RNA, 1966 nt
Organism: Electrophorus electricus (electric eel)
Lineage: Eukaryota; Metazoa; Chordata; Actinopteri; Gymnotiformes; Gymnotidae
Source: RefSeq, a predicted model, not a curated record
ACCCUCUCUCCACUCGGGCCUGUACAGCUUACAGUGCGUCAGCCAAGCUGAGGGUCAGAGCCCCGGUCAAGAGCAGUGUGUGUGGGUGGUCUGAGGAGAGCUGGAGGCAUCAAGACCACGGCUUCACCACGAACGCCAGUAACGCGUGGAUCCAGAUGUCCACGGCGUCAACUAAGUGGGUGGGAAGAACAGGCUCGCAGAUACGGCGUGACGUGCUGCUAACGUAUGCAAAUAGUGGAACAGGUGUGAAUGCCUCCCGCGCACAUGGAUGUAGGACGGCGGACGGGUGAAGGCAACGCCCACGGGGGCGGGGCUGACGAUCGAAACGCCCAUGGGGGCGGGGCUGACGACCGAAACGCUCCGAUUGGAUGUUUUUUGUUUUCUUUUGUUUCACUGUACUUUAUGAUUUACUACAUAAAUCAGAUAACAUUAAAACUAAAUUCCAAGGAGCCAUAAGAAAGAUUUGAAAGUCACAGUUAAAAGCUACAUACUUUGUAAAAUCGAUCCAUGAAGCUUGGUUUUUAUCUUCAUCCACUCAUAUAAUUAGAAAGCUUGAUACACAUCAACUCAAGUUUACUGUUUAAAUUUAUAGUAUCCAUAAUAAUAGUGAAUCAUUAGAGUAGACCAACCAUGGUAAUAAAUAAAAUUGUCUAAUUAAUUUUAAUAACUCGUUAGAUUCCGUUCCAGUAGCACAAGUAAAUUCAGCGCUUAUCAUUUCAGGUGUUGCAUUCAAACAAUGAGCGAAUUAAGUGUUUAGUAAUAAGAGGUCAUUAACCUAAGCAGUACGCUAUCCCGUUAAAUUCUGAACCGAACCAGACUGCAGCAUGGACACGGUAUUAACGAUCCUGAGGGCUUUUCUCAACCAAUCGCGCCAUCUACUGUGCGAGAAUAUGAGGCAACACUGUCAAUUCCACGUAUCUCAGAUAAUCUUUAAUUACAUUUGCACACAAAUAUACUGCGGGUAUUAAACACGAAUGGGACGUCAAUUGAACACUUUUCUAUAUUUAUUCAGUCACAACAGGGACAGCAAUUCAAAGAGUAAUAGAGCCUCACUGGCAGUAGAUAAGUAGAUUUUACAUGCUAGAGAAAGUCAAGAACUGUAACCCUCAACACUUACAAAAUAUGUGCAUUACAAGUGAGUACUCACAAUACUUUUGCAAGGAGCUUUUAUUUGAGCUUAUACAGUUUGUUGUGUUUAAUUGUACAUAACCUCCUAUGCGUUACCAUAACCUAAGAGAAGAAGGAGCACAAGUAUCUAUUAUUAUUACUAUUAUUAUUACUAUUAUUAUUAUUAUUAUUGUUGUUGUUGUUCCUAUACAAACAUUCCAACUGUUAAAAUGUAUUAAAUGACAUGGUAUGAUGGUCAGUUUUAACAGAGUGAAUCAUGAAUUUCUUGCUAAUAAAGUUACCAGGCGAAAUCCUUUUUGAACAUUCAGUUAAAAUGAUCAGUACCUAAAUAAUACACCACACAUUUCAGGUUUAAACAUAAGUCAAGAUGUUAAGAACAAAUAAAUUACUGGCUGUGCUGGCAAUCUCUUCAGACUCUGGUGUGUCUGAAUCCACUAACCUAGUGACCUACACUGAUCCCUGAUCUAGUACAGCCGGUCUAAACCUUGGUGUUCAUAACUAUUCCUAUUUGCUGUAACUACAUAAGAUUGAGGUCAUUGUUUCAGAGUUAGAAAACCAAAGCACUAUUCUAUCUGUGCAGACAUGUCAGAGCGAGUGCAUAUCACCACGGCACUUAUCCGGACUACUGUGCAGAGCAGUGCGUGUGCAAUGUGGAAUCCAGACCACCCAAUGGGAGCACAGGCACAUGCUGUAGUCCGGUAAUGGUACCAUGGAACUUAUUUUAAACUAAACACGGCAUUCUCAAUACACCACUGAGGUAAAUGUAUGACAACUUGAGAAGGAGAUAAAACACCUCAGACAAACCCUCAGAUGAGGGAUUAAAACUGAAAUGAAGCUU